Molecule: ribosomal RNA, 253 nt
Filed under: uncultured bacterium
Lineage: Bacteria
Description: partial 16S ribosomal RNA
Rfam family: Bacterial small subunit ribosomal RNA
Source: RNAcentral
UACGUAGGGUGCAAGCGUUAAUCGGAAUUACUGGGCGUAAAGCGUGCGCAGGCGGUGAUGUAAGACCGAUGUGAAAUCCCCGGGCUUAACCUGGGAACUGCAUUGGUGACUGCAUUGCUCGAGUAUGGCAGAGGGGGGUGGAAUUCCACGUGUAGCGGUGAAAUGCGUAGAGAUGUGGAGGAACACCAAUGGCGAAGGCAGCCUUCUGGGCCAACACUGACGCUCAUGCACGAAAGCGUGGGGAGCAAACAGG